Molecule: long non-coding RNA, 312 nt
Filed under: Elaeis guineensis (African oil palm)
Lineage: Eukaryota; Viridiplantae; Streptophyta; Magnoliopsida; Arecales; Arecaceae
Description: long non-coding RNA (EGUI_LNC018148)
Source: RNAcentral
GAGAAGCUUUAGAUACAAAGAUUUGAGAUACAAGAUAGCUUCAAUGAAAUUGCUUCAUUUUCUCCAACUGAAGCCUUUUAGGAUACAGAUUUGAAAUAAAAUUUUGAAUAUGUACAAAAUUUUGGAUCCUAAGCUAAAGGGUUUUUCACAAUGGACUACGUUGGGAAAGAUUUUUGGUAUACAAGGAUUUUUGAAGGAUAGAAGGGGUUACAAGAUAGAAGAGAUUUUUGGUAGAACACUGUCUCACUGGCUUGUAUUGUUGCUUGAUUGAGGCUCUUGGACUUUACCAAGACUUCCAAUACUUCCUCUUGC